GUGGGGAAUAUUGGACAAUGGGCGAAAGCCUGAUCCAGCCAUGCCGCGUGUGUGAAGAAGGUCUUCGGAUUGUAAAGCACUUUAAGUUGGGAGGAAGGGCAGUAAGUUAAUACCUUGCUGUUUUGACGUUACCGACAGAAUAAGCACCGGCUAACUUCGUGCCAGCAGCCGCGGUAAUACGAAGGGUGCAAGCGUUAAUCGGAAUUACUGGGCGUAAAGCGCGCGUAGGUGGUUUUGUAAGUUGGAGGUGAAAUCCCCGGGCUCAACCUGGGAACUGCCUACAAAACUGCAUGACUAGAGUACGGUAGGGGGUAGUGGAAUUUCCUGUGUAGCGGUGAAAUGCGUAGAUAUAGGAAGGAACACCAGUGGCGAAGGCGACUACCUGGACUGAUACUGACACUGAGGUGCGAAAGCGUGGGGAGCAAACAGGAUUAGAAACCCUGGUAGUCC
RNAcentral lists this ribosomal RNA (450 nucleotides) under uncultured bacterium. RNAcentral describes it as "partial 16S ribosomal RNA". It matches the Rfam family "Bacterial small subunit ribosomal RNA", at positions 354 to 796 of the family's 1533-position model. The record is from RNAcentral.